CCUACGGGUGGCUGCAGUGAGGAAUAUUGGUCAAUGGGCGCGAGCCUGAACCAGCCAAGUAGCGUGAAGGAUGACUGCCCUACGGGUUGUAAACUUCUUUUAUCAAGGAAUAAAGUGAGGCACGUGUGCCUUUUUGUAUGUACUUUAUGAAUAAGGAUCGGCUAACUCCGUGCCAGCAGCCGCGGUAAUACGGAGGAUCCGAGCGUUAUCCGGAUUUAUUGGGUUUAAAGGGAGCGGAGAUGGGGUGUUAAGUCAGUUGUGAAAGUUUGGGGCUCAACCGUAAAAUUGCAAUUGAUACUGGCAGUCUAGAGUACAGGUGAGGUAGGCGGAAUGCGUGGUGUAGCGGUGAAAUGCUUAGAUAUCACGAAGAACUCCGAUUGCGAAGGCAGCGUACUAAACUGCCACUGACAUUGAUGCUCGAAAGUGUGGGUAUCAAACAGGAUUAGAUACCCUGGUAGUC
RNAcentral lists this ribosomal RNA (460 nucleotides) under uncultured bacterium. RNAcentral's name for it is "partial 16S ribosomal RNA". It matches the Rfam family "Bacterial small subunit ribosomal RNA", at positions 338 to 795 of the family's 1533-position model. The record is from RNAcentral.